RNAcentral lists this non-coding RNA (183 nucleotides) under Myxococcales bacterium. RNAcentral describes it as "6S RNA". It matches the Rfam family "6S / SsrS RNA". From Rfam's summary of the family: E. coli 6S RNA was the first non coding RNA to be sequenced, but its function was unknown until recently. It consists of 184 nucleotides that fold into an extended hairpin structure with a large single-stranded internal bulge. The 6S RNA specifically associates with RNA polymerase holoenzyme containing the sigma70 specificity factor. Lineage: Bacteria; Pseudomonadati; Myxococcota; Myxococcia; Myxococcales. The record is from RNAcentral.
GACCCUCUGGGCGGCCCGCCAGGCUCCGGUUUUUGUUAACCCCGCAUCGUCAACCUGGGAUCCGCCUCUGCCUCGCGGUGAGCAAGCCCCGCAUCACGGGGAAGCCUGAAGCGUUGCAUCGUGGAGCCCCCCUGCGCGAGCAGGGGUUGACGGACCGGGGCCAGCGACCGAGUCGGAGGGUCA